ACAAAGGCUCUUUUCAGAGCCACCCACUUUUUCAGAAAAAGAUGCU
Regulatory RNA element from Monodelphis domestica (gray short-tailed opossum), 46 nucleotides. It matches the Rfam family "Histone 3' UTR stem-loop". From Rfam's summary of the family: The mRNAs of metazoan histone genes lack a poly-A tail. 3' end processing occurs at a site between a highly conserved stem-loop (modelled by this family) and a purine rich region around 20 nts downstream (the histone downstream element, or HDE). The record is from Rfam. Lineage: Eukaryota; Metazoa; Chordata; Mammalia; Didelphimorphia; Didelphidae.